Molecule: transfer RNA, 73 nt
Filed under: Mus musculus (house mouse)
Lineage: Eukaryota; Metazoa; Chordata; Mammalia; Rodentia; Muridae
Description: tRNA-Asp
Source: RNAcentral
UGGGAUGUAACUCAGUUGGUAGAGUACUCAGCUAUCAUUCACGAGGCCCUGGGUUUGAUCCCCAACACCACAC